UUGAACGCUGGCGGCAGGCCUAACACCUGCAAGUCGAGCGGAUGAAGGGAGCUUGCUCCUGGAUUCAGCGGCGGACGGGUGAGUAAUGCCUAGGAAUCUGCCUGGUAGUGGGGGAUAACGUCCGGAAACGGGCGCUAAUACCGCAUACGUCCUGAGGGAGAAAGUGGGGGAUCUUCGGACCUCACGCUAUCAGAUGAGCCUAGGUCGGAUUAGCUAGUUGGUGGGGUAAAGGCCUACCAAGGCGACGGUCCGUAACUGGUCUGAGAGGAUGAUCAGUCACCCUGGAACUGAGACACGGUCCUGACUCCUACGGGAGGCAGCAGUGGGGAAUAUUGGACAAUGGGCGAAAGCCUGAUCCAGCCAUGCCGCGUGUGUGAAGAAGGUCUUCGGAUUGUAAAGCACUUUAUGUUGGGAGGAAGGGCAGUAAGUUAAUACCUUGCUGUUUUGACGUUACCAACAGAAUAAGCACCGGCUAACUUCGUG
This 483-nucleotide ribosomal RNA is filed under the name uncultured bacterium. RNAcentral's name for it is "partial 16S ribosomal RNA". It matches the Rfam family "Bacterial small subunit ribosomal RNA", at positions 30 to 507 of the family's 1533-position model. The record is from RNAcentral.